AGUAACACGUGGGAACAUGCCCUUCGGUACGGAACAACUCAGGGAAACUUGAGCUAAUACCGUAUGAUCCGGCAACGGCAAAGAUUUAUCGCCGGAGGAUUGGCCCGCGUCCGAUUAGCUGGCUGGUGAGGUAAGGGCUCACCAGGGCGACGAUCGGUAGCUGGUCUGAGAGGACGAUCAGCCACACUGGGAUUGAGAACGGCCCAGACUCCUACGGGGGGCAGCAGUGAGGAAUUUUCCGCAAUGGAGGGAACUCUGACGGAGCAACGCCGCGUGCAGGAAGACGGCCUUCGGGUUGUAAACUGCUUUUCUGUGGGAAGAGAUUGGACGGUACCACAGGAAGAAGCCCCGGCUAACUACGUG
Molecule: ribosomal RNA, 363 nt
Filed under: uncultured bacterium
Lineage: Bacteria
Description: bacterial SSU rRNA
Rfam family: Bacterial small subunit ribosomal RNA
Source: RNAcentral